Molecule: ribosomal RNA, 497 nt
Filed under: uncultured bacterium
Lineage: Bacteria
Description: partial 16S ribosomal RNA
Rfam family: Bacterial small subunit ribosomal RNA
Source: RNAcentral
GAUGGACGCUGGCGGCGUGCCUAAUACAUGCAAGUCGAGCGAACGGACGAGAAGCUUGCUUUUCUGAUGUUAGCGGCGGACGGGUGAGUAACACGUGGAUAACCUACCUAUAAGACUGGGAUAACUUCGGGAAACCGGAGCUAAUACCGGAUAAUAUUUUGAACCGCAUGGUUCAUAAGUGAAAGACGGUCUUGCUGUCACUUAUAGAUGGAUCCGCGCUGCAUUAGCUAGUUGGUAAGGUAACGGCUUACCAAGGCAACGAUGCAUAGCCGACCUGAGAGGGUGAUCGGCCACACUGGAACUGAGACACGGUCCAGACUCCUACGGGAGGCAGCAGUAGGGAAUCUUCCGCAAUGGGCGAAAGCCUGACGGAGCAACGCCGCGUGAGUGAUGAAGGUCUUCGGAUCGUAAAACUCUGUUAUUAGGGAAGAACAUAUGUGUAAGUAACUGUGCACAUCUUGACGGUACCUAAUCAGAAAGCCACGGCUAACUACGUG